This 71-nucleotide small RNA is filed under the name Marmota monax (woodchuck). The record is from RNAcentral. Lineage: Eukaryota; Metazoa; Chordata; Mammalia; Rodentia; Sciuridae.
GCUGGGCAUGGUGGUGCGUGCCUGUAAUCCCAGCAACUUGGGAGGCUGAAGGAGAAGGAACACAAGUUCAA